GAUGAACGCUGGCGGCGUGCCUAAUACAUGCAAGUCGAGCGAACGGACGAGAAGCUUGCUUCUCUGAUGUUAGCGGCGGACGGGUGAGUAACACGUGGAUAACCUACCUAUAAGACUGGGAUAACUUCGGGAAACCGUAGCUAAUACCGGAUAAUAUUUUGAACCGCAUGGUUCAAAAGUGAAAGACGGUCUUGCUGUCACUUAUAGAUGGAUCCGCGCUGCAUUAGCUAGUUGGUAAGGUAACGGCUUACCAAGGCAACGAUGCAUAGCCGACCUGAGAGGGUGAUCGGCCACACUGGAACUGAGACACGGUCCAGACUCCUACGGGAGGCAGCAGUAGGGAAUCUUCCGCAAUGGGCGAAAGCCUGACGGAGCAACGCCGCGUGAGUGAUGAAGGUCUUCGGAUCGUAAAACUCUGUUAUUAGGGAAGAACAUAUGUGUAAAUAACUGUGCACAUCUUGACGGUACCUAAUCAGAAAGCCACGGCUAACUACGUG
Molecule: ribosomal RNA, 497 nt
Filed under: uncultured bacterium
Lineage: Bacteria
Description: partial 16S ribosomal RNA
Rfam family: Bacterial small subunit ribosomal RNA
Source: RNAcentral